RNAcentral lists this ribosomal RNA (512 nucleotides) under uncultured bacterium. RNAcentral's name for it is "partial 16S ribosomal RNA". It matches the Rfam family "Bacterial small subunit ribosomal RNA", at positions 28 to 507 of the family's 1533-position model. The record is from RNAcentral.
GAUGAACGCUGGCGGCGUGCCUAAUACAUGCAAGUCGAACGAAACUUCUUUAUCACCGAGUGCUUGCACUCACCGAUAAAGAGUUGAGUGGCGAACGGGUGAGUAACACGUGGGCAACCUGCCCAAAAGAGGGGGAUAACACUUGGAAACAGGUGCUAAUACCGCAUAACCAUAGUUACCGCAUGGUAACUAUGUAAAAGGUGGCUAUACUACCGCUUUUGGAUGGGCCCGCGGCGCAUUAGCUAGUUGGUAGGGUAAAGGCUUACCAAGGCAAUGAUGCGUAGCCGAAGUGAGAGGUGGAUCGGCCACAUUGGGACUGAGACACGGCCCAAACUCCUACGGGAGGCAGCAGUAGGGAAUCUUCCACAAUGGGCGAAAGCCUGAUGGAGCAACGCCGCGUGGGUGAAGAAGGUCUUCGGAUCGUAAAACCCUGUUGUUAGAGAAGAAAGUGCGUGAGAGUAACUGUUCACGUUUCGACGGUAUCUAACCAGAAAGCCACGGCUAACUACGUG